Molecule: long non-coding RNA, 521 nt
Organism: Helianthus annuus (common sunflower)
Lineage: Eukaryota; Viridiplantae; Streptophyta; Magnoliopsida; Asterales; Asteraceae
Exons: 3
Source: RefSeq, a predicted model, not a curated record
GGACUUUGAUAGAGUUUAUGGUGGUGGAAGUCAAUGUGUUGCGAGUUCGAAUUUAGUCUUGGAAAUAUAAAAAAUGGCAUCCUUCUUGCACAAGAUGCAUACGGAAACUAUGCUGUACAGUACAUUCUUGAGCUGCAGAUUCCAUCGGCUGUGUCGAAGAUGACCUCUCAGUUUAAGGGUAACUAUCGCACCUUGCCACCCAAAAGUUUAGUAGCCAUGUGGUCGAGAAAUGUUUAGCCGUGUUAGAUGCUCAAAUCAGGUCAACCAUCAUCCGUGAACUGAUCUCGGCUACUCAGUUUGAACAACUGCUUCAAGAUCCACAUGCAAAUUAUGUUAUACAAACCGCCCUUCGUGUUUCUGAGGUCCAUUGUUUUCGUUCAUCUAUGAAGCUGCUACAAAAUUCUGUGUUGAAAUAGCAACCCAUCAACACGGAUGUGGUGUAUUACAAAGAUGUAUCAAUCACUCGACUGACGAGUACCGCGAAAAAUUACAAUUGAUUAGGGAUCCUGCUCUAUGAAGAG